This 254-nucleotide ribosomal RNA is filed under the name uncultured bacterium. Its description in RNAcentral is "partial 16S ribosomal RNA". It matches the Rfam family "Bacterial small subunit ribosomal RNA", at positions 524 to 776 of the family's 1533-position model. The record is from RNAcentral.
UACGUAGGGUGCAAGCGUUAAUCGGAAUUACUGGGCGUAAAGCGUGCGCAGGCGGUGAUGUAAGACAGUUGUGAAAUCCCCGGGCUCAACCUGGGAAUUGCGAUGGAGACUGCAAGGCUAGAAUCUGGCAGAGGGGGGUAGAAUUCCACGUGUAGCAGUGAAAUGCGUAGAGAUGUGGAGGAAUACCGAUGGCGAAGGCAGCCUCCUGGGCCAACACGUGACGCUCAUGCACGAAAGCGUGGGGAGCAAACAGG